GUGCCUCUGCCACUACAUAGUGACCAUGCGCUACUUCGAGAUGGUCAUCCUCGUGGUCAUUGCCCUGAGUAGCAUUGCUCUGGCUGCAGAGGACCCUGUGCGGACAGACUCUCCCAGGAACAAUGCUCUGAAGUACAUGGACUACAUCUUCACAGGUGUCUUCACCUUUGAGAUGGUGAUAAAGAUGAUUGACUUGGGACUGCUCCUUCACCCUGGAGCCUACUUCCGGGACCUGUGGAACAUUC
This is a long non-coding RNA of Nycticebus coucang (slow loris), 245 nucleotides long. RefSeq lists it as uncharacterized. NCBI's taxonomy places the organism in Eukaryota, Metazoa, Chordata, Mammalia, Primates, Lorisidae. The transcript has 3 exons. The record is from RefSeq and is a predicted model, not a curated record.